Molecule: ribosomal RNA, 253 nt
Filed under: uncultured bacterium
Lineage: Bacteria
Description: partial 16S ribosomal RNA
Rfam family: Bacterial small subunit ribosomal RNA
Source: RNAcentral
UACGAAGGGGGCUAGCGUUGCUCGGAAUCACUGGGCGUAAAGCGCACGUAGGCGGAUUGUUAAGUCAGGGGUGAAAUCCUGGAGCUCAACUCCAGAACUGCCUUUGAUACUGAGGAUCUUGAGUCCGGGAGAGGUGAGUGGAACUGCGAGUGUAGAGGUGAAAUUCGUAGAUAUUCGCAAGAACACCAGUGGCGAAGGCGGCUCACUGGCCCGGUACUGACGCUGAGGCACGAAAGCGUGGGGAGCAAACAGG